This 491-nucleotide ribosomal RNA is filed under the name uncultured bacterium. RNAcentral's name for it is "partial 16S ribosomal RNA". It matches the Rfam family "Bacterial small subunit ribosomal RNA", at positions 29 to 507 of the family's 1533-position model. The record is from RNAcentral.
GUGCACGCUGGCGGUAGGCCUAACCCCUGCACGUCGCACGGCAGCACAGUAAGAGCUUGCUCUUACGGGUGGCGAGUGGCGGACGGGUGAGGAAUACAUCGGAAUCUACUUUUUCGUGGGGGAUAACGUAGGGAAACUUACGCUAAUACCGCAUACGACCUACGGGUGAAAGCAGGGGAUCUUCGGACCUUGCGCGAUUGAAUGAGCCGAUGUCGGAUUAGCUAGUUGGCGGGGUAAAGGCCCACCAAGGCGACGAUCCGUAGCUGGUCUGAGAGGAUGAUCAGCCACACUGGAACUGAGACACGGUCCAGACUCCUACGGGAGGCAGCAGUGGGGAAUAUUGGACAAUGGGCGCAAGCCUGAUCCAGCCAUACCGCGUGGGUGAAGAAGGCCUUCGGGUUGUAAAGCCCUUUUGUUGGGAAAGAAAAGCAGCAGGUUAAUACCCCGCUGUUCUGACGGUACCCAAAGAAUAAGCACCGGCUAACUUCGUG